UCAACAUAACUUUUAAACAAAGAGCAUGUGGUUAUUCUCCUUAUUUUUUCCACUGGAUCACCUGGAAAACAAAGUAAAUAAAGAGUUGAUAAUGCAUCCAAAAAAGAGAGAGAAAGAGGGAUAAAAACAUAGUCAUGUUAUUAAAACAGAAUAGAACACCUUCUUAAUAUGGCUGAAGCUUCAUCUGUAAUGUUAGCUCAUAACCUGAAAACAUAAAAGAUAUUAUUAGCAUGAAGAUUAGUUCUUAAUUUUAUCAUUAGAGAAUUUAGCUCUAAAUCUUCUCUUACAAAUGUUGUUGUUGCUCUGUUUCUGGACAUCUCCAAAACCUUCUUCACAUAGCCUAAAACAACAAACCACUUGUUUAAGACUCUCCAAGGAAGUCUGAGCUAAAAGAAAGCUAGUUCCAUCACAAUAUAGACAUCAUCAUGAUCCUAAUAUGCAUCGUAAAAAUGAAGAGAUUAUCAUGACCAGACAAAGUUUUCAAAAUAUUCACUUCUCUCCUCACAUUUUCAAUGGCAAUGGCCGUCCUAAUCUACACAAUAAUUACAAACAAUCUAACAGAUCUCAUAACUGUCACAAAACCAGAAGAUAUCAAAUCGAAAAGCACUUUUUUAUCAAAAAGCACUAACCUUUGCUUUGUGAAUAACAUUAACAACGACUUUUAUCACUUUUCUUAAGCUUAAGAGCACAAAAAUGGCCACGACUGUGACACCCCCGAUCGUAGAUGACCGGAAAUGACAUGGUCGAUGUUCCUCGAUUGUCGAUCUGAGGUUCUCAGAAUACUUCCGAUCGCCUUAGACCAACAACCAAAGAACACCAACGCUCCUAUCGGAUAUAACUCUAGGCUUUUCAACCCGACAAAGCAAUACCCGAUAGUUAGUUCGUCCAGACAAGGACUAAUAUCAUAUGAAACCCGUACUUAAAAAAACAUUCUUUAUCUAUCAAUCAAAAGCAUCUUACAAAAUUUUUUAUAAAUUAACCUCGAGGUUUUUGGUCUACAAAUCUUAUACAUAAGAUAUAUCAAAAUGACUUUGCAAGGAUAAUAAAACUACCGCUGGCUAAUGAUGUUCCUUCCCAUCCUAAAGUAAGGUCUCCC
Molecule: long non-coding RNA, 1096 nt
Filed under: Brassica rapa (field mustard)
Lineage: Eukaryota; Viridiplantae; Streptophyta; Magnoliopsida; Brassicales; Brassicaceae
Description: long non-coding RNA (BRAP_LNC006935)
Source: RNAcentral